RNAcentral lists this transfer RNA (72 nucleotides) under Candidatus Woesearchaeota archaeon. Its description in RNAcentral is "tRNA-Thr". It matches the Rfam family "tRNA". From Rfam's summary of the family: Transfer RNA (tRNA) molecules are approximately 80 nucleotides in length. Their secondary structure includes four short double-helical elements and three loops (D, anti-codon, and T loops). The record is from RNAcentral. Lineage: Archaea; Nanobdellati; Candidatus Woesearchaeota.
GCCUCCGUGGCUUAGCGGUAUAGCGCGACAUUGGUAAUGUCGAGGUCCCGAGUUCGAUUCUCGGCGGAGGCU